GUGUUGAAGAAUCAAAAACUUUAUAGGACCAACACACCAGCAUUGUCUUCUUAGUCAAUGUCAACAAUGGUGAAUUAUGCAAAAUUGAAGCAAUUAAAAGGCUAGAAAAAUCUUCAAUCUCCUUCAUCUUCAUGACUUGAUUUUCUCUAAUUUCUAAUAUUGUCUCCAUGAAUUAUUUUUCCUCAAAUUCCAUUGGAAUCUCUAGAACAUGACAAUUUUUGUUCCCUAUGACACAUUCCUCAAACUUUUCGUCUUCAAACAUAGCAAAGGGAAAUACACUUAAAGCUUCUAUUUCCAAGUCUUUGACAUUGGUCUCCUCAACUUCAAGUUGAGUU
Molecule: unclassified non-coding RNA, 335 nt
Filed under: Hevea brasiliensis (rubber tree)
Lineage: Eukaryota; Viridiplantae; Streptophyta; Magnoliopsida; Malpighiales; Euphorbiaceae
Source: RNAcentral